Molecule: ribosomal RNA, 198 nt
Filed under: uncultured bacterium
Lineage: Bacteria
Description: partial 16S ribosomal RNA
Rfam family: Bacterial small subunit ribosomal RNA
Source: RNAcentral
ACGCUCGACACCUACGAGAGGCAGCAGUGGGGAAUAUUGCACAAUGGGGGAAACCCUGAUGCAGCGACGCCGCGUGAGUGAAGAAGUAUUUCGGUAUGUAAAGCUCUAUCAGCAGGGAAGAAGAUGACGGUACCUGAGUAAGAAGCCCCGGCUAACUACGCGCCAGCAGCCGCGGUAAUCUGAGCGGGCUGGCAAGGC